This 582-nucleotide long non-coding RNA is filed under the name Bos taurus (domestic cattle). RNAcentral describes it as "long non-coding RNA NONBTAT018803". Lineage: Eukaryota; Metazoa; Chordata; Mammalia; Artiodactyla; Bovidae. The record is from RNAcentral.
AAAGCCAUAAUUGAAACAAAGGGAGUGAUAGGUAUGAGUUUCAGGCUUUUUUUUUUCUUUUAAACAUCAGAGUCUAAAGCAAACUGGGGAGUGGUGUGGCUUUUCUGUGCUGCUCUGUUGUCUGGGCUUAGUCUACCUUUGCAGGUAAUUAAUUCCCCAGCCUGCUUAUUUUUUCUAGUUGGCUCUUGUUUAGCUUCCACAGAGCCCCACCCCAGAGUGCUUUAUUGUCCCUCUGCUCACUAUUCCUACAUAUGGUCAAAAUAAACUCACUUUCCGGGUUGCUGACAUCGGCAAAUUCACUGUUUGGCAAACUCGUCUCUGCUCCCAGUAAUCCUUUGUUAAAGAAGUAUUAUUACAAUGGAGUAUCUGGUAGGUAACAACUCAGUCCAAUCCCUUCCACUCCUAGAUAACCUCCCAAGAAAAACUCUUUGUGUCUUUGGAUUUACAGCCACAGGCAGGAUAUUAGCAUUCUCAGACCUGUUGGGUACUAGAGCACUGCUAAUGAGCAAACGGCCUGCCUCAAUUAGUGGUUUGUGAAAUAUUCCUGGAUAUCAAAUUGCUUGUGCUGCUUGAUAAUCACAC